CCUACGGGAGGCAGCAGUGGGGAAUAUUGGACAAUGGGCGAAAGCCUGAUCCAGCAAUGCCGCGUGAGUGAUGAAGGCCUUAGGGUCGUAAAGCUCUUUUACCCGGGAUGAUAAUGACAGUACCGGGAGAAUAAGCCCCGGCUAACUCCGUGCCAGCAGCCGCGGUAAUACGGAGGGGGCUAGCGUUGUUCGGAAUUACUGGGCGUAAAGCGUGCGUAGGCGGUUAUUCAAGUCAGAGGUGAAAGCCCGGGGCUCAACCCCGGAACGGCCUUUGAAACUAGGUAGCUAGAAUCUUGGAGAGGUCAGUGGAAUUCCGAGUGUAGAGGUGAAAUUCGUAGAUAUUCGGAAGAACACCAGUGGCGAAGGCGACUGACUGGACAAGUAUUGACGCUGAGGCACGAAAGCGUGGGGAGCAAACAGGAUUAGAUACCCUGGUAGUCCACGCCGUAAACGAUGAUAACUAGCUGUUCGGGUACUUGGUAUCUGAGUGGCGCAGCUACGACAUUAAGUUAUCCGUCCGUCGGGUAGGUACGGUCGCGAAGAAGUUAAAACGUUAAAAGGUAAAGUUAGUACGGACGUGAGUAACGUGUCCGAACGGACGACGACGAGGGGAGGUUAGG
RNAcentral lists this ribosomal RNA (620 nucleotides) under uncultured bacterium. RNAcentral's name for it is "bacterial SSU rRNA". The stretch from base 1 to 518 matches the Rfam family "Bacterial small subunit ribosomal RNA", at positions 338 to 873 of the family's 1533-position model. The record is from RNAcentral.